GAUGAACGCUGGCGGCGUGCCUAAUACAUGCAAGUCGAGCGAACGGACGAGAAGCUUGCUUCUCUGAUGUUAGCGGCGGACGGGUGAGUAACACGUGGAUAACCUACCUAUAAGACUGGGAUAACUUCGGGAAACCGGAGCUAAUACCGGAUAAUAUUUUGAACCGCAUGGUUCAAAAGUGAAAGACGGUCUUGCUGUCACUUAUAGAUGGAUCCGCGCUGCAUUAGCUAGUUGGUAAGGUAACGGCUUACCAAGGCAACGAUGCAUAGCCGACCUGAGAGGGUGAUCGGCCACACUGGAACUGAGACACGGUCCAGACUCUGACGGGAGGCAGCGGUAGGGAAUCUGCCGCAAUGGGCGAAAGCCUGACGGAGCAACGCCGCGGGGGUGAUGAAGGUCUUCGGAUCGUAAAACUCUGUUAUUAGGGAAGAACAUAUGUGUAAGUAACUGUGCACAUCUGAACGUUACCGAAUCAGAAAGCCACGGCAAACUACGU
Molecule: ribosomal RNA, 496 nt
Filed under: uncultured bacterium
Lineage: Bacteria
Description: partial 16S ribosomal RNA
Rfam family: Bacterial small subunit ribosomal RNA
Source: RNAcentral